Molecule: long non-coding RNA, 7204 nt
Organism: Siniperca chuatsi (mandarin fish)
Lineage: Eukaryota; Metazoa; Chordata; Actinopteri; Centrarchiformes; Sinipercidae
Exons: 3
Source: RefSeq, a predicted model, not a curated record
AUGUGUAUUUUUGAUUUUGGGGUGGACUGUCCCUUUUGGACACAUGUGCAGCAGAUUUAGCUUUCUUAGAUACAGUGACCUCUAACGGCAUUUAGGUCACCCAACAAGACACAGCAGCUGAGUUUAGAACCACAGGUGAAGUUUUAAGUGAGGACACAGCAAUGAGGUUUGAAGGGUCAAUUCACCAGCAUUUUUUCAAUACUCUCUCCAGUGAUUUUGUAUCUAGGAUUUCUGCUUCUAACUCCAAUAGAAUGGAGGUGAAUAUAAUUUUAAUGGUGAUCACAGCAUUGAAAAUAACAAAUCAAAAUCUCUCUCCAGAAACAUCUGCAUAAUCCUCAGAACAAGCUGUUUUCUUUCAAAUUAAAUCGUCAGUAGAAAGUAAUUCCAAUGAAAACUUGUCUGUGGAUCACAAGCUGUAACCCGCCAUCAUUUCUGAUGGUUUUGUGGUAGUUUCAUAAUGAUAAGACCCAUAUUAUAAUUGAAAUAUUGAUUUCCUCCAUGUUACUGAUCUGCUCCAUACCAUUGCAACACACAAAUAGAAGAAAUAGGCUGCAGACAACUCACAUCAUCUGCCUUUCUUGACAGGCCAUAGAUUGUUUUCAUUACUAAAGUGUUUCUUUAAUGGAGAGUUGGCUCUGUGAAGACCUUGAUAUGAAUUCAUGUGUUGACAAUGUCAAAUAUGAAAACUUGGGCUGUGUUAUUAGGAUUGAUAGUUUGUGCUACGUACGUAAGAUGUUUGCCUCUGUACAAGUCUAACUAAUGUAACAUCUCAGGUCAGCAGCUGUUCUGCACCAUAGACUGCAGCUAAUUAACAGUUAGAUACGAGAAAGUGGGGGAAGGUACAGUGGAUAUGAUAAUCCCAUGGUGACAUACAGAGGUGAUUUGGGUUGACAAAGAGUGGGAAGAAAUGUAUGCACAUGUGUUGGCAGGCCGGAGCCGGCACCCUGUUGAUAUGGGUUGUUUGAUCAAUGCAUGGGGGUGACUCGCAUUUCCUCACUGACCAGCCGCUCUGAUCACACCUGAGAAUGGAAUGCAGCGGCCUGUGAAGAUCAAGAGGAAUGGGAAGUGUGAACUUAGGCAUUUACAUAGCAUUGUGUACCAGGAGGAGCUCAGGACAUAUAACCAGCUACUUUUGUAUUGCUGCUUCAGACAUAGCGGGGAGAUUGCCUGGAGAGGUCUCUGUGCUGUGUCUCCAGAUAUAUCUGUAUUUGUCUGUACUGUUAGAUUGUUUGUAUUGUUUGUAAUAAUCGUGAGGAUAUAAAUACUAGUUAAAAGACAAUUGUAGGUCUCGUGUGGAUCCCUUCUCAUCAACCAACUCGGAGAGAAAUUUUCUGACCUCGACAACAACAUCCCUUCAAAUUUUCAAGGCUGACCUUUAGUGAAUUGAUCCAAAACCUGUCUGUCAUAUAACUGAAUGCUCAAAAGUCAGAUGAAUUUAUGGGAUUGGAUGUCACAGAGGUAGUUGAAGAUGCAUGAGGCUUGACACUAGAGCUUUUCCUUUGUGAAUACGCUAUCUUCAUCAUCCUCAAUUUAAAUUUAUAUUAAGGAGGGGGAUUGUCUCUCGACCUAGGAGUUUGACGUACAGCGAGCAAUGAACUGAAUGUGUUUUAAUUGCUAAAUCAUUAACACAUUUUUUUAUGGUGCUGAGUGACAUGUUUAUCUACUACUAAAGUAACUAAUGGUCUGGUAAUGAGUUAACGUUAACUCUAAUAACCAACCGGUAAAGAAAACGUCGGUAAGUGUUAGCCAGGUCAGGUCAGUUAGCAUGCCGCAUUAGUUGCCUGUUCUGCCAGCUCGUGAAUCGCUAAACUUCACAAACAGCCGUCGUUAUUAGCAAGGUGAUGACGUGACUUUUUAUGCUAUUAGCACACUAAUAUUCUAUACUGGAGAUGGAAUGUAACUGGUCAGUUGACCUUGAUUCAUUCAUUCAUUUUGCUCAAUCAUCUGUUCAGUUUAAGAUAAGUCCAGAUAACACCGGUAAAUAUUCCAGACACAUACAGACAUUAUUUGUAUUUUAUGUCUCCUCGUUUCCCUCACUUGCGUCUUAUCGUCGCGUUAUGCAAGGAGAGAGGAAUCGAUGAAACUCGUUUUUAGAGAAAUGGGGGCUCAGUUCCAAUGUCCCCUGCCCUGCCCUAAACGCUUAACCCUGAACCUUGAACCCUAUGCUACUAGAUGUUACCUGUGACAUCACUGUAAGUAUGUGAGUACAGGAGGGUGUGUGGGCUCCAAACUCUGUUUGAUGGUCAGAGACACGUUUAUGCAUAGUAUAGUGUGAGGUUGAUAUUUCAGACUGUAUGUAGUUUAUUGAACUGGAGUAUUUAUUGUUGGCUUUCUGUUGAUUGGCAAAACCGUUCUGUUGGUCAACAUAUCUGAAUUCAGAAUCCUGCCAUUAUAAGACAAACAACUAGACUACACACACCUAGUGCUGGUUAACAACAUGUGUGUUUAUAAUUAAAAGGAAAAUGCUAACUCAUUCCAUUUUAUGUUUAUUUUUCUUUUUUGUAAUGCACAAGUACGCUGUAAUUGCUGUUUUAACAUCAUAAUGCAAUGCAUUGUGGCUUGUCCCUUUCAACAAAGUCUGCAGAGGUGCGGACAUAUGGAAGGUGUGCAGAAAAGACUGUAAAAGUCUGCUACAGAGCCCUCAAACACUUUGCUGAAUACACAGUGGCAGGAACUCGCGUCAAAGUCUUUGAGUGUGUGAGGGGUGGCAUUGGAACUGGGCUGAGAUGUCCUUUCCUUUAAACUAUCAUCUCAAGCGACGGCACAGCUGUAUCACUUGUCAUUCUACAAGUGUUAACAGCUAUGCAUGCAUUGGAGUUUGUAUUUGGACAGAUAAUGCACAUCACAUUAUCGGUCCAAAUAAUAAGGGUGUCCUCCAACAUGACAAAAGUGAAUGUUAAAUAUAAGUCUCUGCAUGUUUCCCCUUAAAUAAACAAAUGACAAGCAUCUGCACAUUCAUUAAAAGCCCGCAUUUUGUAUUUAUGUUGUGAACAGAUCCAUCAAACCACAGUUUGUAAACUGCUCAGACACUGCUGUGAUGUAGUAUCAGAGCAGACGGAUCAGCUGCAGUGCCCAAUGACUGAUUAGAAUGAAGGGGUGUGUCGGUCCAAUAAAAGACUUGGUCUUCUGUAUCCUCGCUCAUGUCUCCUCCGGGCAGCCUCUUCGCUUCUCCGACCGGAACUAAGGGAAUUGAGAUGUCCUUUGUGAUGGCGAACCAGAUUGAUUUCUAAAUCAACCGCGGAGCCGGGAGCGAGGUGACAUGAAAUAAGGCAAUUGAGGAGCACCUAUAGCUAAAUGAGGAAGUUACUGCAGUAUUUUAUAAUGAGAUAGUAUAAUUACACAUCAUUCUCGUUGGAAACAUCAGAAUCCAAUUCUUCCUUAUACUGACUGAUAAUAAUAAAAGAAUGAUUUUUUUAAAUAAUUUUUUUUAACUUUGCGAAUCAGCAAUUGUAACCGUAGCGUAAUGGCUUCUGAUUCUGGAGAGCAGAUAGUAAAAGAGAGAGAAGUGGACAAAGUUAGAGCAAUGAGUUGGCAAGCUGGGCCAGCUUUUGAUAUUAAGCAGGUUACCACUUUUUGAUAAAAACUCAGUGGACAUAGUUUUUGAAAUGUUGGUGAAAUUAGCAAUGGAAAAUGGCCUAAAGAAACAUGGCCUCUUUUUGAUGAGAGUGCUUUAGAGGGGAAAGAGAACGCUUGCAGCACUAGACAGUUGCACAAGUUUAUAAUACGAUGAUUUGAGGAAAGCAGUGCUUGGCGCAUGCAGUAGUGUUCCAGAAACCUACUGAAGGAAGUUUCAUGAACUUAAUCAACAACAUGAAGAGCCUUAUCAGCAUUUGUGGAGGAAACCAGAAGUGGCACUAGAUCGGUGGCUUGCUUCCUGUGAUGCUUGCGCUUACCAAAAGAUGUAAGACCUUAUUUUACUGGAACAGUUUAGGGUUGCCGUCACGUGAAAUAGAAUCAAUUUGAAUGAAUGUGAAGUAAGUAAAACGUGAAAAAGCUGAUGGAUAUGAGGUGGCUCACAGUGGUAGGACUAGUGAAGGUGUUCCCCAUACCCGAACAUAGCUCAUGUGGCUUUUGGUUAUGUGUGGAGUUUAUCAGCAUUUUGUUCGCAACUUUGCUUCCAUUACACCACCAAGACUGACCAAUCUGUUGCGGAAAGGUUGGAAGUGGGUAUGAUCUGAAUAGUGUCAGGAGGCUUUAGUUCAGAUCAGGGCUAUUUCGUCCAGCACCCCAGUACUGAUAGCUCCCAACCUUAUCUUGCUAUGUGAAUGUGUGUUUUGUAGGUGACUGAUCUGUCUUCUUCAGCUUGGGGAGGAUGGUCACGAGUUGGACAAUAAAUGAUAACCUACAUCCCUAAGUAUUUGGUUAGUUUCUGUCUGAGUCUAUUGUUUACCUAAAUGAACUGAAACCAACAGCAAGCUCAUGUAACGUUUGGCAUCCCAAGAAGAGGACCAGAGCGGGCUGGCCCGUUCAGGCGGUCAAGUGAGCGACACUGCGGAUGACGACUGACGCCACUGCGGACAGUGGGCUGUGCUCACCAGGGUUCAGUACCCUAUUAUCUAUGAUAUCAGUCAAGUCCAGGAAGAUCUCCUCUUUGACGGGCAGCAAAGGUAACAAACACUGCACGCACACACAAGCACAGCUGUUGCUUUUGCUUUUUAUGAUUAGCUAAAUGUAACUAUUUGAAAUAGUAAUGUGCUGCUGCCAUGUAGGUGGAGUCAUCUGAAUGUGUCAUGGUGAAAAGAUAAUGCUGAACAUGUUGUUGCUCCCAUGAAUGGAAAAUGUCCCUAUUAACCUAGUAAUUACAGUAACCUGUGGGGAUGAAAAUUGUUUGAGUUACAUAUUGAGAUUUUUUUGAAUGACAUAUUUAAUGAGCAUUUUUAAUGUUAGGAAUAACCAUACCCUCCCCAAAUUCAGAUCUAAGUCCAAUAUAUACAGUUUUUUUUUUAUUUGGUGAUACACAAUACAACAGGUGAACAUUGACAGCAUACAUAUACAUUGACACAAUUGAUACGUCCCUAAGACACAUUGCAUUACAUCACCAAGACACUACAACAUAAUGCUAAGACUAACAACAACAAACAGUAGAGGUAGUGGCAGAGGUAUAAAAUACAGUGGGUAAGCUUGUAAGUGAAUGUGUGUGUGUGUGUGUGUGUGUGUGUGUGUGUGUGUGUGUGUGUGUGUGUGUGUGAGCGAGUGUAUGUGUGCAUGCCAGGGAACUGUGGAGAGAAGAAAGGCGAUGGGAUGCGAUCAUGGGUUUGGUCGUGUGUGUGUGUGUGUGUGUGUUUGUGUGUGUAUCUGUUAGGGAUGGGACGAUAUACGAUUUUAUCGUGGAUCGGGAUAAAAAGUUGAUUGUGGUGAAUUUCCAUUAUCAGGAUAGUUGUGAAUCAGGAUAAUUGUGAAUAUCCUCACAUGAAUGACUUGAAAAGACCAAUGCCAAUGCCAGUUGGACUUUAUUUUUGUUAAAGGAUAAUUCCUGUAUUUCUUAAGUCAGGGGUAAAUUAUAUAUUAGAUUAGAUUCAACUUUAUUGUCAUUACACAUGUACAAAUACAAGGCAACAAAAUGCAGUUUAAAGAUAGAGCCUGAUUUUAAAAAUACAGGAAUUAUCAUGCAACAAACAAGCAGCAACCUCUGGGUCUAAAAAAUUAAGCCAACCCAGAAGUGCCAAAAACUGCAAUUCACUGAAUGACCACUUGAGGCUGGCUCCAAAUGGGAGUCAAUCCCCAUGGACCCCCAUGUUAAAAUGCCCAACUUCAUAGCAGAAAUUUUGAAAUCAUAGCAGUUUUGGUCUCUAUAGUUAAUUUCCCCCUUCAUGACAACUGUGAGGGGGGUUGAUUUUUUUAUAACUCACCUGUUUAAAUUAUAUUAAGACUAAAAGUUCUGCAUUAAGGGCAUGGCCACUUUGAGUGACAGGCGGGGAUUGCUCAUGCCAUCACAGCUAGUUGUCUGCUGUCUGCUAGCCCGUAACCUCAGCUAAUUGACCAUCCAAGAAGUCUGUGCUCCAGUUUUUUCGGUGAGUGAAAUUCUAGUAUUAUUGCAGGUAAUUAGUAGGUUUCUGUUAUACAGUCUUGUUAGCCUAGCUCGUUAAUGAGCUAAUUAGCCAGCAAAUGAAUUAACAUUAGGUUAGCCUUUGAGCAAGACGCCCUGUGCUAACGUUGCUAACUUAAUGGGAGCUGGCCACAAUUAUUAAACCGGCAUGCACCAAAGUCAAAGCUCGGCUAUAGGUUGAGGUUCCCGAGUUAGGCAAGGCUAGAUUAGUUAAGGCGGGGAAUUAAGAGUGCAACAGCCGCUUCUCAGUUUGUGUCGAUAGUUGACAACUAAUCAACUGAUCAUUGCAGUUCUAUUACUAAGGCAUUUUAAGCUUAUUACACUCCAGAAAUUUGACAUAUAACAUUACGCCUGUAUUUCAGGAGGAAUUGUGCAAAGUAGCGUAACAUUUACUAACAUAGACUAUAUUGAAAAUAUGUUUUAAUUAUGUGUGAUUUCAGUAAAACUUACACUUACAGAACUUGCAGAUUUAUGUCAAUCGUGUAUGAGUGAAUGUGGCUUGAAAAAACUAUGCAUUUGACUGUCACAUGAAAAAGCUUCAAAAAUAAGCUUAAAUAAGAAUAGACAAUGCAACAGAUAAAAUAUGAGAAGUGUGAUGUCCACCACCUUUUUUGUUUUAGCUAAAAUAAAUUGAUUAUGACCUGUUGAACACUGAAAUAAUUUGAGUUGUAUUGUUUGCUUGAAAAUAAAUCUGUGAAAGAGGUAACCUAACAAUAUAUUACUUUAUAUAUCUUUUUGUCUGUGUAAAGUUUUCCUCUAGGUGAUCCAGACAGGCUGGACCAGUGGAUGUUCAACAGGAGAACACAGAACUGGACUAACAACACUUCUCGACUAUGCAGUGAACACUUUGAGAAUCAUCACUUCAGCACUGACUGUGCCAGAGGAGCUGAUUGCAGUAUCCAACCAGAUCUGGAGCACCUGGGCGCAGUGCUCUACAGGAUAUAAAAGUCCCAUCUUCCACUGUGGCUCGCUCUCUUCCCUGCCAGUGCCUGCACCCUACCUUACCUGAGAAUUUUGUUUUACUUUUAACACCUUAUCUUACACUAUCCACACACAUCCACAUGAACACUACUGAUUUCACUCACUAACACACCUCAUAUCCAAAGUUACAGUUCAGUUUAUUUUCUUUAUUACAAUAAAUAACUUGUAUGUAUUGCA